UUAACCCCUUAAGGACACAUGACGGAAAUAUUCCGUCAUGAUUCCAUUUUAUUCCAGAAGUUGUGUCCUUAAGGGGUUAAGUGUUUUUACAAAAGGUGAAAUGCUGUCCAGCCGGCUAGAAUGAAACAAUUGUAUGCUAUCGCUCCUGGAGCAAGAAAAGCGCUUGUUACAUCCCACGUGAAAGGGGCCCCGCAAACUUCUGCUGUUCAAAUCGUGGAUCCACGUUUCCAUUUGCAAACUGAUUAAUCCUGAAAGUCAUUCUUUUACUGAUAAAAAGGAUUGAAUGGACAAGAUGUCUCUCCCUCAUAAAGGAGUUCUAAUAGGGGAGUAUUGUUCAGCUCAGAGUUAACUCUACUUUGAAAGUAUAUUGCAUUGUUUGUG
Molecule: non-coding RNA, 381 nt
Organism: Pelobates cultripes (western spadefoot toad)
Lineage: Eukaryota; Metazoa; Chordata; Amphibia; Anura; Pelobatidae
Source: the annotation of a GenBank genome assembly